RNAcentral lists this ribosomal RNA (254 nucleotides) under uncultured bacterium. RNAcentral's name for it is "partial 16S ribosomal RNA". It matches the Rfam family "Bacterial small subunit ribosomal RNA", at positions 524 to 776 of the family's 1533-position model. The record is from RNAcentral.
UACGUAGGGUGCGAGCGUUGUCCGGAAUUAUUGGGCGUAAAGAGCUCGUAGGCGGUGUGUCACGUCGGCCGUGAAAACCUGCAGCUUAACUGUGGGCGUGCGGUCGAUACGGGCAUCACUGGAGUUCGGCAGGGGAGACUGGAAUUCCCGGUGUAGCGGUGAAAUGCGCAGAUAUCGGGAGGAACACCUAUGGCGAAGGCAGCUCGCUGGGACGGUACUGACGCUGAGACGCGAAAGCGUGGGGAGCAAACAGG